RNAcentral lists this ribosomal RNA (444 nucleotides) under uncultured bacterium. RNAcentral's name for it is "SSU rRNA". It matches the Rfam family "Bacterial small subunit ribosomal RNA", at positions 26 to 518 of the family's 1533-position model. The record is from RNAcentral.
AGAGCGAACGCUGGCGGCAUGCUUAACACAUGCAAGUCGCACGGUCAGCAAUGGCAGUGGCGGACGGGUGAGUAACACGUAGGAAUCUAUCCUGGGGUGGGGGACAACAGUGGGAAACUACUGCUAAUACCGCAUGAUACCUGAGGGUCAAAGGCGCAAGUCGCCUUGGGAGGAGCCUGCGUCUGAUUAGCUUGUUGGUGGGGUAAAGCCUACCAAGGCUACGAUCAGUAGCUGGUCUGAGAGGAUGAUCAGCCACAUUGGGACUGAGACACGGCCCAAACUCCUACGGGAGGCAGCAGUGGGGAAUAUUGGACAAUGGGCGCAAGCCUGAUCCAGCCAUGCCGCGUGAGUGAUGAAGGCCCUAGGGUUGUAAAGCUCUUUUGUGCGGGAAGAUAAUGACGGUACCGCAAGAUAACGCCCGGCUAACUUCGUGCCAGCAGCCGC